UACGUAGGGUGCAAGCGUUAAUCGGAAUUACUGGGCGUAAAGCGCGCGUAGGCGGCUUGGUAAGCUAGAUGUGAAAUCCCUGGGCUCAACCUGGGAACUGCAUAUAGAACUGCUGAGCUAGAGUGCAGAAGAGGAGUGUGGAAUUUCAGGUGUAGCGGUGAAAUGCGUAGAGAUCUGAAGGAACAUCAGUGGCGAAGGCGACACUCUGGUCUGACACUGACGCUGAGGUGCGAGAGCGUGGGUAGCAAACAGG
RNAcentral lists this ribosomal RNA (253 nucleotides) under uncultured bacterium. Its description in RNAcentral is "partial 16S ribosomal RNA". It matches the Rfam family "Bacterial small subunit ribosomal RNA", at positions 524 to 776 of the family's 1533-position model. The record is from RNAcentral.